RNAcentral lists this ribosomal RNA (279 nucleotides) under uncultured methanogenic archaeon. RNAcentral describes it as "partial 16S ribosomal RNA". It matches the Rfam family "Archaeal small subunit ribosomal RNA", at positions 1047 to 1325 of the family's 1478-position model. Lineage: Archaea; Methanobacteriati; Methanobacteriota. The record is from RNAcentral.
GAGACCCACGCCAACAGUUGCCAGCAUGUUCUCCGGGAUGGUGGGGACACUGUUGGGACCGCCUCUGCUAAAGAGGAGGAAGGAAUGGGCAACGGUAGGUCAGCAUGCCCCGAAUUAUCCGGGCUACACGCGGGCUACAAUGGGCAGGACAAUGGGUUUCGACACCGAAAGGUGAAGGCAAUCUCUUAAACCUGCUCGUAGUUCGGAUUGCGGGUUGCAACUCGCCCGCAUGAAGCUGGAAUCUGUAGUAAUCGCGUCUCAAAAUGGCGCGGUGAAUAU